RNAcentral lists this small nuclear RNA (18 nucleotides) under Arabidopsis thaliana (thale cress). RNAcentral's name for it is "snRNA_01000". The record is from RNAcentral. Lineage: Eukaryota; Viridiplantae; Streptophyta; Magnoliopsida; Brassicales; Brassicaceae.
UAUUUGAAAACUAGCUAG